Molecule: RNA transcript, 2202 nt
Organism: Scleropages formosus (Asian bonytongue)
Lineage: Eukaryota; Metazoa; Chordata; Actinopteri; Osteoglossiformes; Osteoglossidae
Gene: tafa1b
Gene name: TAFA chemokine like family member 1b
Exons: 6
Source: RefSeq, a predicted model, not a curated record
UGGUGAUGAUGAUGAUGAUGAUGAUCAUGAUGAUUUAGAGGUGACCCGACGGAAGGCGGCCACCCUGUAAAAUCCCCGAGCGGCUCCUCGCGCUGCUCUCAAAGUUCGGCGGCAGCUUGCGCACCGGCGGAAGACGCUCCGCGCGCCGGCCGGGCGUUACACUGUGGCUGUGAGGGGAAGGUGGGGAGGGGGGGGGCGAGACCCCGGAGUUGCCUUCACCUCCCGCCCCUCCGCAGCCGGACUCAGACAGACUGUCACUGACUGUGCCGCGGGAAUCCCGGGCGCCGCCGGACGCGUGGAUUUAACGCGGCGCCUUGAACGUGUCGGAUGAACAUCGUCGGGGCUCCUCACCUUCUGGCCGGACCACGCAGAUGCGCCCCACCAUGUCUUGGUUCUGGUGUCUGUGGAUUAGCGCCAGCGCCGUUCUGCUCUGCCAAGCCUCUCUGUACGACACCAUCCAGCAGCACCACCUGGCCAGCCCUGGCCGCAGCUCCAUCCAGAUCCUCGAGGGCGGGACGUGCGAGGUCAUCGCCGCGCACAGGUGCUGCAACAAGAACCGAAUUGAGGAGCGCUCUCAGACGGUGAAGUGCUCCUGUCUACCAGGGAAGGUGGCCGGGACGACGAGAAACAAGCCGUCCUGCGUGGACGCCUCUAUUGUUGUCGGGAAGUGGUGGUGCGAGAUGGAGCCCUGCCUGGAGGGUGAAGAAUGCAAGACGUUACCGGACAACUCGGGUUGGAUGUGCUCCUCCGGAAACAAGAUCAAGACCACGAGGAACACCCAGCCAUACUCAUCUUUUUAGUUCUGGGAGCAGAAUGCAGGAGACGCUGCAAAAUAGAGGCAGAGGAGCAUUCCUGCUUCCAAAAAAGAUUCAUCCAAGGACCUAACAAAGGGCACCCCGAUAGGCAAGAAAUGGAUUCAUCCAGAAAAAAAAUGGGCAAAACCAUUCCGAGGAGGAACGGCUGACUGGAUUACUUCGAGCUGCGUAGGCUUUACCGAAAAGGAUAUCGCUAGUGAUGGAAGCGCGGCACUGGUUGUGGUGCUCGGGAUGUGAAAACCAGACUAAUCCUUUUUCCGACAGACAAGUCAAAAAAAGGUGACUUUAUUCCACAGGUGUUGUAUUGCAAAUCCUUACAUGUGCUUUUCUUCCUUUAAGAAUAUUUAAAAACCAAAACGCGGCUUACCAGAACUAACAGAGGAUGUAGAAAAGUACAGAAAGGACAGCAUCGCGCAUGUAAAGGACACGAUUGGGACUGCGUUGCUCGGCCCCCGGCGGGGAGCCCCAAAGGACCGGUGGGACACUGGGAGAAAGUGAAAGGCCAUCGCGAACAUACAGUGUUUCUGGUCCUCCACCAUUCCAUUGCCUAACCCUCCAACAUCAGCAUGCUGGCCUUCCUUGAACUCCGAGAGCCGUGACGUGCCGUCACCUCUCUGACCACGUGACCUGACAGCAGGAGCGCGAUCAAACCGAAAUCAGACCCUCGGAAAGGCGGAGGCGUCACAAAGUCCCUCAGCAUCCACCGUGGAGGCAUCUGUAAAUUUACCAUUAUUUGUUGGCAUGCUCAACCUGUUUUACCUGAGCUCUCUUUGUAUUAAAAAUGUAUAUAAAUGUUUCACAUGCUCAUAUGGUAAAAUAUCGACAAGAAGGAGGGAUCCAGCGGGGUCUCUCGGCAACACUGUAACCUGAAUUUUUCGCUCGUUCCCGACUCCAACGUGUGUGGACCCCACUUAAAGUUUGGGUGGAGCACCUUUUCAUUUGCGCAGGAUCCGAUCGCUUGCGUCCGGGAGACUAUGAAGCGGCCAGCGGCCUGCGGGUACAUGUUGCUUGGGUUUCAGUCGAAUGCUGUGUUUGGAGAUCGGGGCCCCGUAGUAUAUAUGGUGAGAAAAACAAAGCCAACACUGUACAGAUCAGUCUCACAAAGCAACGAAUACUAUCGUGACUAUGGUUAGUCUUCCCAUCCUUGUGAACAAGACCCUAUAGCAACUCGGCCCCACCUUAGUGAUUAAAAUGCACUUCUGUUUCCACCCUGUUCUUUUUUUUUUAACGUAUGACAUUGACGACAUUUGUUGACUCAGCCAUGCUUGUUCGUUUGUAGUUUGUACUGAAUUUUUGGGAAGAAAAACUGACAUAGAAGAAAAAAAGUGUCAAGAAAACCAUAGCUGGCAUCAGAGUAAAUCAGAGUAAACCCCCAGUAGAUAUAACU